GAUGAACGCUGGCGGCGUGUCUAAGGCAUGCAAGUCGAGUGGGUUUAGACCCACGGCAAACGGGAGAGUAACGCAUUGGUAACCUACCUUGAGGUCGAGCAUAAUCCCGCGAAAGCGGGGAUAAUUUUCGAUAAAAGUGGGGGGACAUAAGUCAUUCCUACUUAAAGCAGCAAUGCACCUCGAGAGGGGCCUAUGCCCUAUCAGCUAGUUGGUGAGGUAACGGCUCACCAAGGCGAUGACGGGUAGCGGGUGUGAGAGCAUGACCCGCCUCACUGGGACUGAGACACUGCCCAGACUCCUACGGGUGGCUG
This 311-nucleotide ribosomal RNA is filed under the name uncultured Parcubacteria group bacterium. Its description in RNAcentral is "bacterial SSU rRNA". It matches the Rfam family "Bacterial small subunit ribosomal RNA", at positions 28 to 351 of the family's 1533-position model. The record is from RNAcentral.